RNAcentral lists this ribosomal RNA (497 nucleotides) under uncultured bacterium. RNAcentral describes it as "partial 16S ribosomal RNA". It matches the Rfam family "Bacterial small subunit ribosomal RNA", at positions 28 to 507 of the family's 1533-position model. The record is from RNAcentral.
GAUGAACGCUGGCGGCGUGCCUAAUACAUGCAAGUCGAGCGAACAGACGAGGAGCUUGCUCCUCUGACGUUAGCGGCGGACGGGUGAGUAACACGUGGAUACCCUACCUAUAAGACUGGGAUAACUUCGGGAAACCGGAGCUAAUACCGGAUAAUAUAUUGAACCGCAUGGUUCAAUAGUGAAAGACGGUUUUGCUGUCACUUAUAGAUGGAUCCGCGCCGCAUUAGCUAGUUGGUAAGGUAACGGCUUACCAAGGCGACGAUGCGUAGCCGACCUGAGAGGGUGGUCGGCCACACUGGAACUGAGACACGGUCCAGACUCCUACGGGAGGCAGCAGUAGGGAAUCUUCCGCAAUGGGCGAAAGCCUGACGGAGCAACGCCGCGUGAGUGAUGAAGGUCUUCGGAUCGUAAAACUCUGUUAUUAGGGAAGAACAAAUGUGUAAGUAACUAUGCACGUCUUGACGGUACCUAAUCAGAAAGCCACGGCUAACUACGUG